CGCGCACACACUCGGGCCCCCCGCGGCCGGACCCACGGGGGCGGUGCGCGAACCCCGCGGCCGGAGGGGGCCCCGCCUCUAGGCGGGCCAGGCGCCGUUAGAGGGGGAGCGCACCCCGACUUCCCUGGAUCACAUGGGCUGCGGGGGGCGGGUGGAUCGGAGGAGGGGGAGGCGCGGGGAGCUCGCCGCCGCUCCUCGCUCGGGCAGGGGAGAAGACGCCCCCCACCCCCUCUAGUUCGGCCUCUCCAUUCAAGUUCGCCAGCCCUGGCCUCCGGGAUCCGGGGAUGGCACUAGCCGCCUGCCCAGCUCUGCGCCCUUUUUUUCCAGCCGCCGCGCAGAAAUUUAGGUCAAGGACGUCGGGAUCAAACCCAAACCCUGGCGCUCCUCGGCGGACCCCGAGACCCCCCAGGAUCGGGGAGCUUCAGGAUUGCGGAGACCCUCCCGCACAAACAGCAGCCACAAGUUUUAUUUUCCUUUGGCGCUGGAAGUUCUCUCUGGCUCUCGCUCCACACCGGCACGUCUUGCGCCGCUCCCCGCCCUUCCCCGGCAGAGGAUUAGGACACAAGGGAAUACACUCAACACCAAAACUAUACCAAAUCCACUGUGGGUCGUGGCAAAGUGGAAUAUUUGGAAAAUCCCAACACUAGCCAAAGCCUUGAAUGACCAGAUUCUUAAUCUCCCUGCCUCCUAAAUUUGGGAUAAUUCCUCACUGACAGGAUUGAUGGAGUGAAAGGAGAGAUUGAAAUCACUUGUUCUGGGGGAAGCAGAUGCCAUAUCAUGAAGAUGAUCAAGUAGCCCAGUGGAGAGGCCCACGUGGAGAUGAACUGAGGUUUGCUACCAGCAACACAAUCUUGCCAGGACUGUGAGCUAGACACAUUAAAGGCAGAUCUGCCAGCCCCGGUCAGAUCUUCAGAUGACUGCUACCUUGGCCUAUGCCUUGACUGCAACUUCGCGAGAAACCUUAAGCCAGAACCUCCCAACUACGCCAUUCCCAAUUCCUGACCCUCAGAUACUGUCUGAGAUAGUCAAGACUUGUUGUCUGAAGCUACUAAAUUGGGAUAAUUUGUUGUCCAGAAUAGAUAACGAAUACAAAGAUACUUCACAACGCACUAAAAUAGAGCUGCUCACUUCAUAGGCUUGCGCCAGGAUUCAUAUGCUAACAUUUUUAGAGCGUUUUAGUUAGACUCAGGCCAAA
This is a long non-coding RNA of Lutra lutra (Eurasian river otter), 1195 nucleotides long. RefSeq lists it as uncharacterized. Lineage: Eukaryota; Metazoa; Chordata; Mammalia; Carnivora; Mustelidae. The transcript has 3 exons. The record is from RefSeq and is a predicted model, not a curated record.